This 837-nucleotide long non-coding RNA is filed under the name Callithrix jacchus (white-tufted-ear marmoset). Its description in RNAcentral is "lncRNA (ENSCJAG00000062589.2)". The record is from RNAcentral. Lineage: Eukaryota; Metazoa; Chordata; Mammalia; Primates; Cebidae.
ACUGGAGGCUCUAAGCUAGUUCUGUCCACAUUUAUGGUCUCAAAUCCUCACUACAGGUGCUGGCUGCUGUUAUUUUGUUCAACCAGUGUCUUUCUAUCUUCUCCUGAUGAUGUCGUCUCUCGCUUCUUUAAGGGAACUGUGCAUCACCCAUUCCGUGAGGUUUCCCUGACGUAGAUUCUAAGAAUUCUAUUUACAACACUUAGGACACUUUCUCAGUGCGUUCCCCAGUGGAAUGAAAGUGGCUCAAGAGGAAACACUGUGUCUAUAGGCUCACCAUUGUGCCUUCCAUACCCAUCCUGCUGCCUGGCACCUGGUAGGAACUCAAGAAAUGCUUAAAGAAGAAAAGUAAUGAAUGAAAGUGGUCAGAGAUUCCUCACUGGUCAAAAAUGAAAAAUUCGCUAUUCAGAUACAAAGAUACAGUUACAUAGACAUCUCAGAAGCAUGGAAAUAUUUAAUUGGAUGAAUAAAGAGAUCUAGAAAAAUAUUAUCUGAUUUUGACAAAAGAAGAAAGGUGAGAAAGGCAGGGAAACUCCAGAAAAUUGAUGCUAACAGGGGCCUCAAAAAAGCUUGGAUGGUAAACUCACCUGGUGAUGUUUUCAAGAUGGCUGCCUAAGGGGACAGUUUGAGGCCAGGAAAGAGAGAAACUAAGAGACCCAUAUAAGCACCAAACUCAUGACCCUUGACUUAUCAUGGUCUUGCCAAAUGAGUUUUCAGGCUGCAGUGUCCUUACUAUUUGUCCUGUGUCGACAGAAACCACAGAACAAAGCAGGCUGCCUGACUGGGAGGCUGGAGUAGCAGAGGGGCGAGCCCAGAGCUGGGUACUGAAGGGAGUCACAU